AGGGGUGAGCCACCGGUUAGGCGGCCGGCCUCCAAAGCCGGAGAAAAGCGGGUUCGAUUCCUGCCGCCCCUG
RNAcentral lists this transfer RNA (72 nucleotides) under Actinomadura hallensis. It matches the Rfam family "tRNA". Rfam says of the family: Transfer RNA (tRNA) molecules are approximately 80 nucleotides in length. Their secondary structure includes four short double-helical elements and three loops (D, anti-codon, and T loops). Further hydrogen bonds mediate the characteristic L-shaped molecular structure. tRNAs have two regions of fundamental functional importance: the anti-codon, which is responsible for specific mRNA codon recognition, and the 3' end, to which the tRNAs corresponding amino acid is attached (by aminoacyl-tRNA synthetases). tRNAs cope with the degeneracy of the genetic code in two manners: having more than one tRNA (with a specific anti-codon) for a particular amino acid; and 'wobble' base-pairing, i.e. permitting non-standard base-pairing at the 3rd anti-codon position. Lineage: Bacteria; Bacillati; Actinomycetota; Actinomycetes; Streptosporangiales; Thermomonosporaceae. The record is from Rfam by way of RNAcentral.